UAGGGAAUCUUCCGCAAUGGACGAAAGUCUGACGGAGCAACGCCGCGUGAGUGAUGAAGGUUUUCGGGUCGUAAAGCCCUGUCAGGUGGGAAGAAUGUCCCGGGGCUGAACAGGUUUUGGGAGUGACGGUACCACCAGAGGAAGCACCGGCUAACUCCGUGCCAGCAGCCGCGGUAAUACGGAGGGUGCAAGCGUUAUUCGGAAUUACUGGGCGUAAGGCGCGUGUAGGCGGUCCUGCAAGUCUGAUGUGAAAGCCCCGGGCUUAACCCGGGAAGUGCAUUGGAAACUGUGGGACUUGAGUACUGGAGAGGAUGGGGGAAUUCCCGGUGUAGAGGUGAAAUUCGUAGAGAUCGGGAGGAAUAUCAGUGGCGAAGGCGCCCAUCUGGACGGUAACUGACGCUGAGACGCGAAAGCGUGGGGAGCAAACA
RNAcentral lists this ribosomal RNA (428 nucleotides) under uncultured prokaryote. RNAcentral describes it as "bacterial SSU rRNA". It matches the Rfam family "Bacterial small subunit ribosomal RNA", at positions 355 to 774 of the family's 1533-position model. The record is from RNAcentral.